RNAcentral lists this long non-coding RNA (1204 nucleotides) under Bos indicus x Bos taurus (hybrid cattle). Its description in RNAcentral is "lncRNA (ENSBIXG00000007419.1)". Lineage: Eukaryota; Metazoa; Chordata; Mammalia; Artiodactyla; Bovidae. The record is from RNAcentral.
AUGUUUAUUGACCAUUGGUAUUUCUCCCUUGCUCUUGACCUCUUCAUGGUCUCCAAUUUUUCCAUUAGCCUCUCAGGCCAGUUAAAUUUAACUGUGUGUUUUAAUGUUCCCCAGGCUUCAAAAGAAGAGACACAGUUCAGAAUAGCACUGACUUCCAGCUCAGUAGAAAAGCAACCUGGGGAGCCCCACACUUCCCCUUCCCACAGGGAAAUCAGAGCCUGUGUUCAUUCCUUUCCCUCUAGACUCUUUUCAGGUUUAACAAAACAACAGGAGGUAGAAGAAAUCAACAGUCAAGGACAAAAAAUGCUGAAGAAAAAAGGCAAAACCACCACAGAUCUUCAAGAAGGGAAAAUGAGUUGCGUGGAAGAUGGGCCCGUUUUGUUGCCAUGUGGCUCCCAGAGGAGAAAGGGAUGGAUUCCCGUCAUUCUGCAGAAAGGGUCCAUCCGUAUUGCUGCAGAUCCACCCACUGCUCUCGCAGCUUCAUCACUCUCCUCGCUGCGGGCUCCACGGUGGCUACAUUCUACCGCACAGUACUCACACUCAUCAGUCAAGGCCUUUCCACCCUCUGCAAGAUUCGGCCUUUGCUGCUUUCAGGUCUCUGUUCAAAUAUCACCUUGUCAGUGAAGCCUUCCCAACUCCUUUACUUAAAACAACACCCUCCCCUACUACUCUGUCACUCUCUGAGCCUCUCAUCCUGAUGUAUUUUUCCCCAGUGCACUUAUACUAACAUACUGUAUAUUUCCUUAUUUAUCCAUGUAUUAUCGCACUUGUCCACUAGAAUGUAAAACUCCAGGAGGGCAAGGAAGUAAUCUACUUGAUUUAAAAUUUUAUCUCCAGGACCUACAACAUUUAAUUUAAGAUUAAAUUAGAACAUUAAAUUUAAAAUUUUAUCUCCAAGACCUGUUAUUUUAUACAUAACGAGUCCAUAUACACAUAUAUACAUAUGGGUGUCUAUGUAUAUAUAUCUACAUAUAUCUAUAAUAUACAUAGGGUUGGACAGAAAGUUCAUUUGGGAUUUUCCAUAUUAUCUUACAGAAAAACGUGAAUGAGCCUUUUGGCUAACUCAAUAUGUGUGUGUGUGUGUGUACAUGUGUAUAUUUCGGUGAAUGAGUGGGUGAAUUCAUGACUGAUCAAAAUAACCUGUGGAUUUUCUCUAUGUCCCAUAAGUUUUUCUCUUAAUAAAUGGUUCACGUGCAUGGAUGCA